GGGUCCGUAGCUCAGCCUGGUAGAGCACCUGACUUUUAAUCAGGUGGUCGCGAGUUCGAAUCUCGUCGGACCCG
RNAcentral lists this transfer RNA (74 nucleotides) under Candidatus Woesearchaeota archaeon. RNAcentral describes it as "tRNA-Lys". It matches the Rfam family "tRNA". From Rfam's summary of the family: Transfer RNA (tRNA) molecules are approximately 80 nucleotides in length. Their secondary structure includes four short double-helical elements and three loops (D, anti-codon, and T loops). Further hydrogen bonds mediate the characteristic L-shaped molecular structure. tRNAs have two regions of fundamental functional importance: the anti-codon, which is responsible for specific mRNA codon recognition, and the 3' end, to which the tRNAs corresponding amino acid is attached (by aminoacyl-tRNA synthetases). tRNAs cope with the degeneracy of the genetic code in two manners: having more than one tRNA (with a specific anti-codon) for a particular amino acid; and 'wobble' base-pairing, i.e. permitting non-standard base-pairing at the 3rd anti-codon position. Lineage: Archaea; Nanobdellati; Candidatus Woesearchaeota. The record is from RNAcentral.